ACUCCUACGGGAGGCAGCAGUGGGGAAUAUUGCACAAUGGGGGAAACCCUGAUGCAGCCAUGCCGCGUGUGUGAAGAAGGCCUUGGGUUGUAAAGCACUUUCAGUAGGGAGGAAGGUAGUGUAGUUAACACCUGCAUUAUUUGUACGUUACCUACAGAAGAAGCACCGGCUAACUCCGUGCCAGCAGCCGCGGUAAUACGGAGGGUGCGAGCGUUAAUCGGAAUUACUGGGCGUAAAGCGCAUGCAGGCGGCCUGUUAAGUCAGAUGUGAAAGCCCGGGGCUUAACCUCGGAAUUGCAUUUGAAACUGGCAGGCUAGAGUCUUGUAGAGGGGGUUAGAAGUUUCAGGUGUAGCGGUGAAAUGCGU
Molecule: ribosomal RNA, 365 nt
Filed under: uncultured bacterium
Lineage: Bacteria
Description: bacterial SSU rRNA
Rfam family: Bacterial small subunit ribosomal RNA
Source: RNAcentral